UAACGCGUGAGUAACCUGCCUCUAAGGGGGGAAGUAACAUUCUGAAAAGAAUGCUAAUACCGCAUAACAUAUAUUUAUCGCAUGGUAGAUAUAUCAAAGAUUUAUCGCUUAGAGAUGGACUCGCGUCCGAUUAGUUAGUUGGUGAGGUAACGGCUCACCAAGACCGCGAUCGGUAGCCGGACUGAGAGGUUGAACGGCCACAUUGGGACUGAGACACGGCCCAG
Molecule: ribosomal RNA, 224 nt
Filed under: uncultured bacterium
Lineage: Bacteria
Description: partial 16S ribosomal RNA
Rfam family: Bacterial small subunit ribosomal RNA
Source: RNAcentral